Long non-coding RNA from Brassica rapa (field mustard), 1417 nucleotides. RefSeq lists it as uncharacterized. Lineage: Eukaryota; Viridiplantae; Streptophyta; Magnoliopsida; Brassicales; Brassicaceae. The record is from RefSeq and is a predicted model, not a curated record.
CUCUCCUGGUGAUGCCAUAUCAGCAUACAGGUCAGAAAAUCGAGUUAUGUGAGCGUGACACGUGUUCCAGACAAGCAAAACGCAUCACUUCAUUUAAUCCGAUGGGCUUUGACUGUGAAACGUGAUUGGGCUGAUAUUUUCUUCUGCGGCCCGGCAGCCUGUAAUCGAAAACCCUAAGUUUGAUUACGCAAAAAUUGAGUUCGUCUCUCCUCUUGCACCUUCAUCGAGAAUGUCGACAGAAGAAGCUAGGGGUUCGUCAUCUCCCCUAGAUCCGACCAUGUCAAACAAGCAUGGAUGUUCUGGAAGGAACCUCAAGUCAGAUCUUCAUAAACUUUUGUGUCGUUCAUAGUUCCCGUCGUUACGCUUGAUUUCGACCUCCUCUGAUCUGUUACGCAGCAGUGAUCUUCACUUAUAAAAAGGGGAGACUUCACCUUACGAAAAUCAUCCUCCCGGCUCCUAAUAUCAGCAAAACCUCAUCUUCUUCGAUUUCAUCGCUUAAACUUUCAUGCUCGCUGAUUUGGAGGCCGUCAGUGUUUUUCCACUGUGGUGGUGUUACUUCUCGAGAAACGUGAAAGGAGGUGACGAGCUGAUGGGCGUGGAUAAGCUUCUCCUCGACUCUAAGCAACCCUCAUACCGCCACCGUCUCACGGCUUACCGGCAUCAUUUUAAGGCAGUGUUUCAACUGAAUUUGAAGAGAUACGGUUCUACCAAUUCCUAAAGAACGCUUCAAGUUCCAUAAUCACAGUGAGGUACUUUGGCUGGCCAACAGGAACAUACACCUUCCCGGUAAUCGUCUUCAUAUCUCUUUAUCCCAGGAUCAACAUUGGAAAGUGAUUAGAUAUUGACAUCUUGAUUUCUUUGUAGACCUUAUCUGUGAGCUCACAGCUGUGAAGAGUAUUGUGAGUGACCCUACACAAGGAAAACAUCGUGUCAUGACCGGAGGCUCCAGCUGCUCCCAGUUAUGAUGAUGUUGCAACAAGCAUAAACCUCAAGAUUGUUCGAGGUGCUCAGUCAUGUUAUGGCAACAAUUAAAAUCGACAGUGAUGUUUCUCUGACUUUGAGUUUGUUCCACUCACAACUCUCAAGCUGUAUCGUUUCACAACCACCUGGAAGGCUUCUGUGUUGAUCUAAUAGUUGUUGCUACAAGCAUAAACCUCCAAGAUUGUUGGAGGUGCUCUAUCAUGUAUCAUCUGUUUUUUUUGUUAACUGUGAAUUACUUUACUGCUGCUUGGAACAAGCAAAAACCCCAAAAACGAAAAAAACCUGAGUUUCACAGGUCAAUACAUACUUUAAUAGCUUAGCUUGGCAGUCUAUAUUUUUUGUUUAAAGAGGAGAAACGUGAGUUCCACAUAUUUGUGCAUUAUCAUGUGACAUCACUGCUAUAAUAUAAAUAAAAACAACAACACAAAAUUUGUUA